UACAGAGGGUGCAAGCGUUGUUCGGAAUUAUUGGGCGUAAAGCGCGUGUAGGCGGCUUUGCAAGUCGGGUGUGAAAGCCCUCAGCUCAACUGAGGAAGUGCGCCCGAAACUGCAGAGCUUGAGUGCCGGAGAGGGUGGCGGAAUUCCCCAAGUAGAGGUGAAAUUCGUAGAUAUGGGGAGGAACACCGGUGGCGAAGGCGGCGUUCUGGACUGCAACUGACACUGAGGAGCGAAAGCCAGGGGAGCAAACGGG
Molecule: ribosomal RNA, 253 nt
Filed under: uncultured bacterium
Lineage: Bacteria
Description: partial 16S ribosomal RNA
Rfam family: Bacterial small subunit ribosomal RNA
Source: RNAcentral